UCAAUAAGCGGAGGAAAAGAAACCAACCGGGAUUGCCUCAGUAACGGCGAGUGAAGCGGCAAGAGCUCAAAUUUGAAAGCUGGCCCCUUCGGGGUCCGCGUUGUAAUUUGCAGAGGAUGCUUCGGGUGCGGCCCCUGUCUAAGUGCCCUGGAACGGGCCGUCAGAGAGGGUGAGAAUCCCGUCUUGGGCAGGGUGCCCGUGCCCGUGUGAAGCUCCUUCGACGAGUCGAGUUGUUUGGGAAUGCAGCUCUAAAUGGGUGGUAAAUUUCAUCUAAAGCUAAAUACCGGCCGGAGACCGAUAGCGCACAAGUAGAGUGAUCGAAAGAUGAAAAGCACUUUGAAAAGAGAGUUAAACAGCACGUGAAAUUGUUGAAAGGGAAGCGCUUGCGACCAGACUCGGCCCCGGGGUUCAGCCAGCAUUCGUGCUGGUGUACUUCCCCGGGGGCGGGCCAGCGUCGGUUUGGGCGGCCGGUCAAAGGCCCCAGGAAUGUAUCGCCCUCCGGGGUUGUCUUAUAGCCUGGGGUGCAAUGCGGCCAGCCCGGACCGAGGAACGCGCUUCGGCACGGACGCUGGCGUAAUGGUCGCAAACGACCCGUC
Molecule: ribosomal RNA, 596 nt
Filed under: Aspergillus spinulosporus
Lineage: Eukaryota; Fungi; Ascomycota; Eurotiomycetes; Eurotiales; Aspergillaceae
Description: partial large subunit ribosomal RNA
Rfam family: Eukaryotic large subunit ribosomal RNA
Source: RNAcentral